RNAcentral lists this transfer RNA (72 nucleotides) under Bos taurus (domestic cattle). It matches the Rfam family "tRNA". Rfam says of the family: Transfer RNA (tRNA) molecules are approximately 80 nucleotides in length. Their secondary structure includes four short double-helical elements and three loops (D, anti-codon, and T loops). Further hydrogen bonds mediate the characteristic L-shaped molecular structure. tRNAs have two regions of fundamental functional importance: the anti-codon, which is responsible for specific mRNA codon recognition, and the 3' end, to which the tRNAs corresponding amino acid is attached (by aminoacyl-tRNA synthetases). tRNAs cope with the degeneracy of the genetic code in two manners: having more than one tRNA (with a specific anti-codon) for a particular amino acid; and 'wobble' base-pairing, i.e. permitting non-standard base-pairing at the 3rd anti-codon position. The record is from Rfam by way of RNAcentral. Lineage: Eukaryota; Metazoa; Chordata; Mammalia; Artiodactyla; Bovidae. RNAcentral also lists the same sequence under 1 other name.
UCCCUGGUAGCUCAGUGGUAAAGAAUCUGCCUGCCAAUGCAGGAGACACAGGUUCGAUCCCUGGUCAGGGAG